Molecule: ribosomal RNA, 275 nt
Filed under: Vibrio cholerae O139
Lineage: Bacteria; Pseudomonadati; Pseudomonadota; Gammaproteobacteria; Vibrionales; Vibrionaceae
Description: partial 16S ribosomal RNA
Rfam family: Bacterial small subunit ribosomal RNA
Source: RNAcentral
ACUGACACUCAGAUGCGAAAGCGUGGGGAGCAAACAGGAUUAGAUACCCUGGUAGUCCACGCCGUAAACGAUGUCUACUUGGAGGUUGUGCCCUAGAGGUGUGGCUUUCGGAGCUAACGCGUUAAGUAGACCGCCUGGGGAGUACGGUCGCAAGAUUAAAACUCAAAUGAAUUGACGGGGGCCCGCACAAGCGGUGGAGCAUGUGGUUUAAUUCGAUGCAACGCGAAGAACCUUACCUACUCUUGACAUCCAGAGAAUCUAGCGGAGACGCUGGA